UACAGAGGGUGCUAGCGUUGUUCGGAAUCAUUGGGCGUAAAGGGCGUGUAGGCGGUUUGUUAAGUCAUGUGUGAAAUCCCUCGGCUCAACCGGGGAACGACGCAUGAAACUGGCAAGCUAGAGUCCGGAAGAGGAGAGUGGAAUUCCUGGUGUAGCGGUGGAAUGCGCAGAUAUCAGGAGGAACACCAAUAGCGAAGGCAGCUCGCUGGGACGUUACUGACACUGAGGCGCGAAAGCGUGGGGAGCGAACAGG
Molecule: ribosomal RNA, 253 nt
Filed under: uncultured bacterium
Lineage: Bacteria
Description: partial 16S ribosomal RNA
Rfam family: Bacterial small subunit ribosomal RNA
Source: RNAcentral